UACGUAGGGUGCGAGCGUUGUCCGGAAUUAUUGGGCGUAAAGAGCUCGUAGGCGGUUUGUCGCGUCUGCUGUGAAAACUGGAGGCUCAACCUCCAGCCUGCAGUGGGUACGGGCAGACUAGAGUGCGGUAGGGGAGAUUGGAAUUCCUGGUGUAGCGGUGGAAUGCGCAGAUAUCAGGAGGAGCACCGAUGGCGAAGGCAGAUCUCUGGGCCGUAACUGACGCUGAGGAGCGAAAGCAUGGGGAGCGAACAGG
RNAcentral lists this ribosomal RNA (253 nucleotides) under uncultured bacterium. RNAcentral's name for it is "partial 16S ribosomal RNA". It matches the Rfam family "Bacterial small subunit ribosomal RNA", at positions 524 to 776 of the family's 1533-position model. The record is from RNAcentral.